GCAGUUCGUCACAAUGACAUCAAGUAUUUAUAAUCUCAUAUAUAUUUUAAGUUUAAUUAUAAUAUUUAUUAAUAUCGGAAACCGCAGUGAAAGAGAAGGACAACAUAUAACUGUUUACUGUGUGGCAUUUCCUUCUUUAAAUGUUGUUUUUCUCGACCGCUUAAAGUCCGAAUGAAUCGUUAUACCGGGUUAAUAAACGCUGUAAACGUAUCCGAACGUAUAAAGCGAUCGUCAGUCGUAUAUUUUGCUUUACGAUCGUAAGUAAGGCAUUUGAACUCUUGGUGUUGCGUCAUUGUCGAUCGUUUUAUUUUUUUCUUUUUUUCCUUAUUUGCUUUCACGAGUGCAGUCAUUUCGUGCGUGCACUUUUAGUUCCCAUCCAUUGGUCACGUGCCCAAACCAAAUAGCAGUGAUCAAACUGUCAGCUACAGCUAGCUCUGUUGUUAUUGUCUGUUUUACUGCCUGUCACAGGUUUCUCUACCUGGCUAAACGACAAUGUCCCCGAGUAUAACGUUGUACACUAUUUCACCUGGAUAAUUUCCCCCAAUAUUCUCUUUUCUCUUCCAAUUCGGUUCGUAAUUAUAUCCAUUUUUAUUAACCUUCCACACCGGCGUACGGUUGUAAAGCGGUACGUUUUAUGUGGAUUCGGUAAUCACUGCCAUAUUGUAUAUUGCCAGUUAAGUUUGCUACAAUGGAAGAUUGCUAUACGAUAUUGUGAUACUCGGUAAUGAGUUGUAAACUUUUUCCCAGUAACUUUGCGAUUUUUUGAUUGCCAAACAGAGAAAAAUUUUGUCUGGCGCGUACGCCGAAGGGAUAUAAACGGAUUUAGAAAUUCGUUUGGGGUUGGCACCGUUUUGUAUAUCAGCGUAUUGAGAUUAAGUAUACUGGUCUUUCGACGUCUCCAGAGGGGUUGGAAGCAUAACAAAACGCGUUAAAGAUAGACUAGAGUUUUGAUUACAUCAAAGUGUAAUGCGUAUAAAUGGACACUUCCAUCUAACGGCACGCGUUGGAUCUGUGACGUUCCCCCCAGUUUGGACUACUCAUAGACAAGUCCCUUGAUGUCUGUGACGCAAUGACUUCUGUAGGAUUUACCCUUUUGAAGCUAUACACAAUCUCAUCUUACUACAGAUGGUCAUGACAGCAAUACACGGAGGGGGUCACUCAUGUGCCGCAUCAGAAGAUAGUGAGGAGGACGAUUCCACUCGCUGAUGCUAGAGUCAAUCUGCGAUGAUACAUUGCUGGUGGUACGUACAUAUGAUGAAUGAAUCCCAACAGAGAGAUGGGCUACGGACGAAAGACGUCUUCUGUUUAUUAAAGGGAUUAUCUUACUCCGAGCCCGGUGCAUCGCAGCCCGUUGUUUCAUAUUUAAUACAGCGUCGGAAGCAGAAAGAGAACGAGAGAGAGAGAGAGAGAGAAAGAGGAAAACAGAACCAGGAGAAGAAGAAGAAGGAAAAAAAAAAAAAAAAAAAAAAAAUGAAGCAAACCGCAUCCCAUAGCUAUCAGUUUUACUUUCGCUGUUUU
RNAcentral lists this long non-coding RNA (1518 nucleotides) under Androctonus crassicauda. Lineage: Eukaryota; Metazoa; Arthropoda; Arachnida; Scorpiones; Buthidae. The record is from RNAcentral.